CAACAGGCUAGACCGAUCAUCGAAAAGCGGAAAUGCCUUGCCGCCUGCCUGUUGAUUUACAUACAUUCAAGGC
RNAcentral lists this non-coding RNA (73 nucleotides) under unclassified sequences. RNAcentral's name for it is "int-alpA RNA". It matches the Rfam family "int-alpA RNA". Rfam says of the family: Acidobacteria (1 example), Planctomycetes (1 example), Proteobacteria. Environment (Lake Washington) The record is from Rfam by way of RNAcentral.